AGAACGAACGCUGGCGGCAUGCCUAAUACAUGCAAGUCGAACGAACUCUUCGGAGUUAGUGGCGCACGGGUGCGUAACGCGUGGGAAUCUGCCCCUUGGUUCGGAAUAACAGUUGGAAACGACUGCUAAUACCGGAUGAUGACGAAAGUCCAAAGAUUUAUCGCCAGGGGAUGAGCCCGCGUAGGAUUAGCUAGUUGGUGAGGUAAAGGCUCACCAAGGCAACGAUCCUUAGCUGGUCUGAGAGGAUGAUCAGCCACACUGGGACUGAGACACGGCCCAGACUCCUACGGGAGGCAGCAGUAGGGAAUAUUGGACAAUGGGCGAAAGCCUGAUCCAGCAAUGCCGCGUGAGUGAUGAAGGCCUUAGGGUUGUAAAGCUCUUUACCGAGAUGAUAAUGACAGUAUCGGAAGAAGUAAGCCCCGUACUAACGUCCGUGCCAGCAGCCGAC
This 448-nucleotide ribosomal RNA is filed under the name uncultured soil bacterium. RNAcentral describes it as "bacterial SSU rRNA". It matches the Rfam family "Bacterial small subunit ribosomal RNA", at positions 26 to 518 of the family's 1533-position model. The record is from RNAcentral.